AGAAGGGAAUGAAGUUCUCCCUGGGAUCAUACCUAAACCGCUAUAAGCUGAUGACUUCUACAA
Molecule: non-coding RNA, 63 nt
Filed under: chicken gut metagenome
Description: Fluoride riboswitch
Rfam family: Fluoride riboswitch aptamer (crcB RNA motif)
Source: RNAcentral